RNAcentral lists this ribosomal RNA (468 nucleotides) under uncultured bacterium. RNAcentral describes it as "partial 16S ribosomal RNA". It matches the Rfam family "Bacterial small subunit ribosomal RNA", at positions 28 to 507 of the family's 1533-position model. The record is from RNAcentral.
GACGAACGCUGGCGGCGUGCUUAACACAUGCAAGUCGAACGGAAAGGCCCUGCUUUUGUGGGGUGCUCGAGUGGCGAACGGGUGAGUAACAUGUGAGUAACCUGCCCUUGACUUUGGGAUAACUUCAGGAAACUGGGGCUAAUACCGGAUAGGAGCUCCUGCUGCAUGGUGGGGGUUGGAAAGUUUCGGCGGUUGGGGAUGGACUCGCGGCUUAUCAGCUUGUUGGUGGGGUAGUGGCUUACCAAGGCUUUGACGGGUAGCCGGCCUGAGAGGGUGACCGGCCACAUUGGGACUGGGAUACGGCCCAGACUCCUACGGGAGGCAGCAGUGGGGAAUAUUGCACAAUGGGCGGAAGCCUGAUGCAGCAACGCCGCGUGCGGGAUGACGGCCUUCGGGUUGUAAACCGCUUUCGCCUGUGACGAAGCGUGAGUGACGGUAAUGGGUAAAGAAGCACCGGCUAACUACGUG